Cyprinus carpio (common carp) is the source of this 516-nucleotide long non-coding RNA. RefSeq lists it as uncharacterized. The transcript is spliced from 5 exons. The record is from RefSeq and is a predicted model, not a curated record. Lineage: Eukaryota; Metazoa; Chordata; Actinopteri; Cypriniformes; Cyprinidae.
AAGUGACAUCAUUUUGGAGGGAAAUAGGCAGCACAAACACCACUUUGAGCAAACAAAGCUUGCUUGAAGAUGGGGAAGAUGUGAAGUCAACGCGGCUGUGACGUGAUGGGCUGGAGCGUUGUCUCUUGACGCAACUUCCUGUUCAUCUAUGAGAAGCUAAACAUUGCCCUCUCCUGGAUAUAUGACUGGAAUCUCGUGCUUGAUGAGCCAGUCAGUGGGGAGCAGAUUUUUAGGCUCUACAUAGGUGGCGUUUAAGGCAUCAUUUGAGUGAAACGUGUUCCAAAAGUGUCCGGACAGUGAAGAAAACUGGAAGAAUCACAAAUCUGGUUUGGGUUGCUAAACAUUGCCUGCUUCCAGUAAACAGGGAGGAUUACUGCUGUCAGGCACGACACUUACGGUGGCUGGAACUCCAUCAAGCUGUCUUGCUCCGUGGUUUGACACAAGUAUUCCAUCCACCCCAUACUUCAGCGCUUCUUUGGCAUCUUCAGCUAAAAUGGCAAGAUUCACCAUGAGCAG